RNAcentral lists this ribosomal RNA (468 nucleotides) under uncultured bacterium. Its description in RNAcentral is "partial 16S ribosomal RNA". It matches the Rfam family "Bacterial small subunit ribosomal RNA", at positions 28 to 507 of the family's 1533-position model. The record is from RNAcentral.
GACGAACGCUGGCGGCGUGCUUAACACAUGCAAGUCGAACGGAAGAGCCCUGCUUUUGUGUGGUGCUCGAGUGGCGCACGGGUGAGUAACACGGGAGUAACCUGCGCUUGACUUUGGGAUAACUUCAGGAAACUGGGGAUAAUACAGGAUAGGAGCUCCUGCUGCAUGGUGGGGGUUGGAAAGUUUCGGCGGUUGGGGAUGGACGCGCGGCUUAUCAGCUUGUUGGUGGGGGAGUGGCUUACCAAGGCUUUGACUGGUGGCCGGCAUGAGAGGGUGAACGCCGACAUUGGUACUGCGAGACGGACCAGACUCGUACGGUAGGCAGCAGGGGGGAACAUGGCACAAUGGGCGGAAGUCUGAUGCAGAAAUGUUGCGUGCGGGAUGCCGGUUUUCGGGGUGUAAACCGCUGUCGGUUGAUACGAAGCUUGAGUGACGGUAACGGCUAAAGAAGCACCGGCUAACUACGUG